ACGGGAGGCAGCAGUGGGGAAUAUUGGGCAAUGGGCGAAAGCCUGACCCAGCGACGCCGCGUGAAGGAAGAAGGUCUUCGGAUUGUAAACUUUUGUCAUCGGGGAAGAAGAAAGUGACGGUACCCGAUAAGAAAGCCACGGCUAACUACGUGCCAGCAGCCGCGGUAAUACGUAGGUGGCGAGCGUUAUCCGGAUUUACUGGGUGUAAAGGGUGUGUAGGCGGACCGACAAGUCAGGUGUGAAAUCCAUUGGCUUAAACAAUGAACUGCAAGUGAAACUGUAGGCCUUGAGAGUCGGAGAGGUAAGCGGAAUUCCUAGUGUAGCGGUGAAAUGCGUAGAUAUUAGGAGGAACACCAGUGGCGAAGGCGGCUUACUGGACGACAACUGACGCUGAGACACGAAAGCGUGGGGAGCAAACAGGAUUAGAUACCCUGGUA
RNAcentral lists this ribosomal RNA (437 nucleotides) under uncultured Oscillospiraceae bacterium. RNAcentral describes it as "partial 16S ribosomal RNA". It matches the Rfam family "Bacterial small subunit ribosomal RNA", at positions 341 to 792 of the family's 1533-position model. Lineage: Bacteria; Bacillati; Bacillota; Clostridia; Eubacteriales; Oscillospiraceae. The record is from RNAcentral.